Molecule: ribosomal RNA, 1365 nt
Filed under: uncultured bacterium
Lineage: Bacteria
Description: partial 16S ribosomal RNA
Rfam family: Bacterial small subunit ribosomal RNA
Source: RNAcentral
GACGAACGCUGGCGGCGUGCCUAAUACAUGCAAGUAGAACGCUGAAGGAGGAGCUUGCUUCUCCGGAUGAGUUGCGAACGGGUGAGUAACGCGUAGGUAACCUGCCUGGUAGCGGGGGAUAACUAUUGGAAACGAUAGCUAAUACCGCAUAAGAGUAGAUGUUGCAUGACAUUUGCUUAAAAGGUGCAAUUGCAUCACUACCAGAUGGACCUGCGUUGUAUUAGCUAGUUGGUGGGGUAACGGCUCACCAAGGCGACGAUACAUAGCCGACCUGAGAGGGUGAUCGGCCACACUGGGACUGAGACACGGCCCAGACUCCUACGGGAGGCAGCAGUAGGGAAUCUUCGGCAAUGGACGGAAGUCUGACCGAGCAACGCCGCGUGAGUGAAGAAGGUUUUCGGAUCGUAAAGCUCUGUUGUAAGAGAAGAACGAGUGUGAGAGUGGAAAGUUCACACUGUGACGGUAUCUUACCAGAAAGGGACGGCUAACUACGUGCCAGCAGCCGCGGUAAUACGUAGGUCCCGAGCGUUGUCCGGAUUUAUUGGGCGUAAAGCGAGCGCAGGCGGUUAGAUAAGUCUGAAGUUAAAGGCUGUGGCUUAACCAUAGUACGCUUUGGAAACUGUUUAACUUGAGUGCAAGAGGGGAGAGUGGAAUUCCAUGUGUAGCGGUGAAAUGCGUAGAUAUAUGGAGGACCACCGGUGGCGAAAGCGGCUCUCUGGCUUGUUCCUGUCGCUGUGGCUCGCUGCGUGGGGGGGCUGCCCGGGUUUGGUGCCCUGGUUGUCCUCGCCGUUUCCGCUGCGUGCUAGGUGUUGGCCCCUUUCCGGGGUUUUGUGCCGCGGCUUNCGCGUUUGCCUCUCCGCUUGGGGUGUUCGUCCGCUUGGUUGUNNCUCUGGGGUUUUGUCGGGGGCCCGCNCCCGCGGUGGNGCCUGUGGUUUUUUUCGGUGCUUCGCGNNGNUCCUUGCCCGGUCUUGCCUUCCCUCUGNCCGCUCUNGNGGUNGNGUUUUCCUUCGGGUCCGUGGUGUCUGGUGGUGCUUGGUUGUCGUCCGCUCGUGUCGUGUGUUGUUGGGUUNUGUCCCGCNNCGGGCGCGCCCCCUUUUGUUNGUUGCCUUCCUUUNGUUGGGCCCUCUNGCGUGUCUGCCGGUNNUCNUCCGGUGGUNGGUGGGGNUGUCGUCUNUUCCUCGUGCCCCUUUUGNCCUGGGCUCCCCUCGUGCUNCCNUGGCUGGUNCNNCGUGUCGCCNGCCGGUGUCGGCCCGCUNNUCUCUUGNNGCCCGUCUCCGUUCGGNUUGUNGGCUGCUNCUCGCCUNCCUGCNGUCGGNUUCGCUNGUNNUCGCGGCUCNGCUCGCCCCCUAAAGCGUUCCCGGGCCU